AGAGUUGAUCCUGGCUUAGGAUGAACGCUGGCGGCGUGCCUAACACAUGCAAGUCGAGCGGAGAUAUUGAGGGAUUCUUUAGAUGACCUCCUAUCUUAGCGGCGGAUGGGUGAGUAACACGUGGGUAACCUGCCCUGCACAGGGGGAUAACAGCUGGAAACGGCUGUUAAUACCGCAUAUGCACACGCUGCCGCAUGGCAGAGGGUGGAAAAGAUUUAUCGGUGCAGGAUGGGCCCGCGUCGGAUUAACUAGUUGGCAGGGUAACGGCCCUACCAAGGUUAUGAUCCGUAGCCGACCUGAGAGGGUGACCGGCCACAUUGGGACUGAGACACGGCCCAAACUCCUACGGGAGGCAGCAGGUGGGGGAUAUUGCACAAUGGGCGAAAGCCCUGAUGCAGCGACGCCGCGUGAAGGAAGAAGUAUUUCGGUAUGUAAACUUCUAUCAGCGGGGAAGAAGAUGACGGUACCCGACUAAGAAGCCCCGGCUAACUACGUGCCAGCCGCCGC
RNAcentral lists this ribosomal RNA (507 nucleotides) under uncultured bacterium. RNAcentral describes it as "bacterial SSU rRNA". It matches the Rfam family "Bacterial small subunit ribosomal RNA", at positions 8 to 518 of the family's 1533-position model. The record is from RNAcentral.